RNAcentral lists this ribosomal RNA (497 nucleotides) under uncultured bacterium. RNAcentral's name for it is "partial 16S ribosomal RNA". It matches the Rfam family "Bacterial small subunit ribosomal RNA", at positions 28 to 507 of the family's 1533-position model. The record is from RNAcentral.
GAUGAACGCUGGCGGCGUGCCUAAUACAUGCAAGUCGAGCGAACGGACGAGAAGCUGUCUUCUCUGAUGUUAGCGGCGGACGGGUGAGUAACACGUGGAUAACCUACCUAUAAGACUGGGAUAACUUCGGGAAACCGGAGCUAAUACCGGAUAAUAUUUUGAACCGCAUGGUUCAAAAGUGAAAGACGGUCUUGCUGUCACUUAUAGAUGGAUCCGCGCUGCAUUAGCUAGUUGGUAAGGUAACGGCUUACCAAGGCAACGAUGCAUAGCCGACCUGAGAGGGUGAUCGGCCACACUGGAACUGAGACACGGUCCAGACUCCUAAGGGAGGCAGCAGUAGGGAAUCUUCCGCAAUGGGCGAAAGCCUGACGGAGCAACGCCGCGUGAGUGAUGAAGGUCUUCGGAUCGUAAAACUCUGUUAUUAGGGAAGAACAUAUGUGUAAGUAACUGUGCACAUCUUGACGGUACCUAAUCAGAAAGCCCCGGCUAACUACGUG